GUGCUCACUUCGGCGGCACAUAUACUAAAGUUGGAAUUGGAACAUUACAGAGAAGAUUAGCAUAGUCCCUGCACGAGGAUGACAUGCAAAUUCGUGAAGCAUUCCAUAUUGAA
Molecule: small nuclear RNA, 113 nt
Filed under: Tupaia belangeri chinensis (Chinese tree shrew)
Lineage: Eukaryota; Metazoa; Chordata; Mammalia; Scandentia; Tupaiidae
Source: RNAcentral